Helianthus annuus (common sunflower) is the source of this 922-nucleotide long non-coding RNA. RefSeq lists it as uncharacterized. NCBI's taxonomy places the organism in Eukaryota, Viridiplantae, Streptophyta, Magnoliopsida, Asterales, Asteraceae. The transcript has 4 exons. The record is from RefSeq and is a predicted model, not a curated record.
UUAAAUAAUAAUACACCAAAAGCUACUGGCCAUAUCUGAUUUUUGCAACUCCAGCAAACCCACUGGUAAUUCCCUUCCUCUCAUAUGGCGAUUUACGGCAAGAGACCACCGCCUUCACUCGUCGCUUAUUUUUGGGGCUAUUAGGGUUCGUCGAGCAAGUCCAGUGAGUUCAGUUGUAAGACGGCGACAACGGUGGCGGCCACGGUUCCUUUGGCCUCCGGUCUCUUCGUAUCAAGCACAUCUCUCUCUUUAGGCGUCAAUUUCAUUUUGGGUAUCACCUGGAGAAGGAACCGGUGCGAGUGUGCGACAAUGUCGGAUGAUGAUGAUGAUCAAGUGGACAGUGAUGCGAAUUUGUUUGAUGGGAUGGGUUGCAGUGCUGGAUUGAUCUCUAUUGAUCUUGCCAAACAGCUGAAUAUAUAUAGUUGAAUGCUUAGAGGUAACAUUUUGAGCUUCUGAGUUUAGCGAUUUUUUUAAUGCUUUAACAGUUGAAUAUGGUUAUACCUUAUAUGCCAAUGUUGAUACCUCCCCUCAAAGAAAAAACUGACCCGACCCGAAUUGAGCCACACACUUGCAGCAUCUUGCUUUGCAACUAUGGCAAUCAGGGAGCUGCUCAAAACAUCAACUUCUAAGAGUUGCUUGGCAAAGGAAUGUGAAGAUGGAUGUUGCUGAUAGCCUGAUACUACUUGGAAGCUAGAUGAAGCUGGAUUUUUGAAGACAGUAGAUCUGUUUUUGUGUAGUGUAGAACUGUAGAUUUUGCUUUUGUUUUGUUUUAUACUUUUAUGUAUGGUUUAAGGCUUAGAGUUCAUGUUUUGCACAAAUGGAACAUAAAUGUUAUUGAGUUUUGAACAUAGUAAUUAUUUUGACCGCCUGCACGCCGCGAAGCGAUCCCGCGGUUUAAAUCCUAGUUAAUAUUAGAAUUGAA